Molecule: ribosomal RNA, 253 nt
Filed under: uncultured bacterium
Lineage: Bacteria
Description: partial 16S ribosomal RNA
Rfam family: Bacterial small subunit ribosomal RNA
Source: RNAcentral
UACGAAGGGGGCAAGCGUUGUUCGGAAUUACUGGGCGUAAAGGGCGCGUAGGCGGCUUAUCAAGUCAGGCGUGAAAUUCCCGGGCUCAACCUGGGGGCUGCGCUUGAUACUGAUUGGCUUGAAUGCGGGAGAGGAUAGUGGAAUUCCCAGUGUAGAGGUGAAAUUCGUAGAUAUUGGGAAGAACACCGGUGGCGAAGGCGGCUAUCUGGCCCGUAAUUGACACUGAGGCGCGAAAGCGUGGGGAGCAAACAGG